CCUANGGGGGGCAGCAGUGGGGAAUAUUGCGCAAUGGGGGAAACCCUGACGCAGCGACGCCGCGUGGGUGAUGAAGGCCUUCGGGUCGUAAAGCCCUGUCGUAGGGGAAGAAAGCUCUCGACCUAACACGUCGGGAGGUUGACUUAACCUACAAAAGAAGCACCGGCUAACUCUGUGCCAGCAGCCGCGGUAAUACAGAGGGUGCGAGCGUUAAUCGGAAUUACUGGGCGUAAAGCGCACGUAGGCGGCUUGGUAUGUCGGGUGUGAAAUCCCCGGGCUCAACCUGGGAACUGCAUUCGAAACUACCUUGCUAGAGUAUGGGAGAGGGAAGUGGAAUUUCUGGUGUAGCAGUGAAAUGCGUAGAUAUCAGAAGGAACAUCAGUGGCGAAGGCGACUUCCUGGACCAAUACUGACGCUCAGGUGCGAAAGCGUGGGGAGCAAACAGGAUUAGAUACCCCANUANUC
This 465-nucleotide ribosomal RNA is filed under the name uncultured bacterium. RNAcentral describes it as "bacterial SSU rRNA". It matches the Rfam family "Bacterial small subunit ribosomal RNA", at positions 338 to 795 of the family's 1533-position model. The record is from RNAcentral.